GGCGAACGGGUGAGUAACGCGUAGGAAUCUACCCAAGAGUGGGGGACAACCCGGAGAAAUCCGGGCUAAUACCGCAUACGCCCUACGGGGUAAAGUGGGGGAGCUUUUCGGAGCCCUCAUGCUUUUGGAUGAGCCUGCGUCGGAUUAGCUGGUUGGUGAGGUAACGGCUCACCAAGGCGACGAUCCGUAGCUGGUCUGAGAGGAUGACCAGCCACACUGGGACUGAGACACGGCCCAGACUCCUACGGGAGGCAGCAGUGGGGAAUAUUGGACAAUGGGGGCAACCCUGAUCCAGCCAUGCCGCGUGUGUGAAGAAGGCCCUAGGGUUGUAAAGCACUUUCAGUGGGGAAGAAAAGCCUGAGGAUAAUACCCUCGGGUUAUGACGGUACCUACAGAAGAAGCACCGGCUAAUUCCGUGCCAGCAGCCGCGGUAAUACGGAAGGUGCAAGCGUUAAUCGGAAUUACUGGGCGUAAAGCGCGCGUAGGCGGUCUGAUAAGUCGGGUGUGAAAGCCCCGGGCUCAACCUGGGAACUGCAUUCGAUACUGUCUGACUAGAGUGUGAUAGAGGGAGGCGGAAUUCC
RNAcentral lists this ribosomal RNA (581 nucleotides) under uncultured Gammaproteobacteria bacterium. RNAcentral's name for it is "bacterial SSU rRNA". It matches the Rfam family "Bacterial small subunit ribosomal RNA", at positions 97 to 670 of the family's 1533-position model. The record is from RNAcentral. Lineage: Bacteria; Pseudomonadati; Pseudomonadota; Gammaproteobacteria.